GGAAGCUGACCUACUGUGACAUCCACUACACUCUUGGUUGCCAAGGUGGGGUUGGCUGACCUGGCAGGCUAAAGGGUGUGCCGCUCCUCUCUUAUCCACCCAGUGGGCCCUUCCUGAAACCAAGUCAGAAAGACUGAUCUUCUCAGCUUGAGGGAAAUGGUGUAGGAGGAACAGUGCUGCUCUGACAGAAGAGUGAAAGGAUUUCUGAGUUCUUAUCUGUUUUGCUAGGAGUUACGCAGUGAGACAGAGAUGAAUCUGUACUUGCCAUUU
RNAcentral lists this small RNA (270 nucleotides) under Tursiops truncatus (common bottlenose dolphin). RNAcentral describes it as "7SK RNA (ENSTTRG00000025237.1)". The record is from RNAcentral. Lineage: Eukaryota; Metazoa; Chordata; Mammalia; Artiodactyla; Delphinidae.